This 419-nucleotide ribosomal RNA is filed under the name Terschellingia lissa. RNAcentral's name for it is "SSU rRNA". It matches the Rfam family "Eukaryotic small subunit ribosomal RNA", at positions 136 to 608 of the family's 1831-position model. Lineage: Eukaryota; Metazoa; Nematoda; Chromadorea; Monhysterida; Linhomoeidae. The record is from RNAcentral.
UACUUGGAUAACUGUGGUAAUUCUAGAGCUAAUACACGCAGGAAGAGUGCAUUUAUUAGAACAAAACCAAUUUUGGUGAAUCUGAAUAACCCACAGUCUUUGCACUGGCGACGCAUCUUUCAAGUGUCUGCCUUAUCAACUUUCGAUGGUAGUUUAUGUGACUACCAUGGUUAUAACGGGUAACGGAGAAUCAGGGUUCGACUCCGGAGAGGGAGCCUGAGAAAUGGCUACCACAUCCAAGGAAGGCAGCAGGCGCGCAAAUUACCCAUUCUCAGAGAGGAGGUAGUGACGAAAAAUAACGAGGUGGUUCUCUAUACUAUCGGAAUGAUGACAAUUUAAAUCCUUUACAAAGGAUCUAGCGGAGGGCAAGUCUGGUGCCAGCAGCCGCGGUAAUUCCAGCUCCGCCAGUGUAUACCUAU